Long non-coding RNA from Chelonia mydas (Green sea turtle), 524 nucleotides. RefSeq lists it as uncharacterized. The transcript has 2 exons. The record is from RefSeq and is a predicted model, not a curated record. Lineage: Eukaryota; Metazoa; Chordata; Testudines; Cheloniidae.
UUAAAAUCAUCCUUGAGAUGUAGAAAAUAGUGUCUUUAUACAGUUCGUAGUAUAUUUAGAGGUGCAUGUGCCUUAUUAACUCUGUUUUCUCCUAGAGCUCCAGGAAGAAAUCACAGCCCGUGUUUCAGCCUAUCUGUGAUUCGGGGGGCGUGUCAUAAAUAUAAAGGGAAGGGUCUACUUCAAAGUCUUGAUGAUUGCCGAUUGGUCACCUAAGGACUCCAAGCUGUCAAGAGAAGGCCUGGAGCAGUAUAAAAGUCUCUUGGGUCCUGAUCCUUUUUAUCUCAGAUCUGCUUAAUGCUUUAUGCAGGGGAAGCUUAAGUCGUAAGACUGAGAUCUCCAAUCCUACCUGGACCACCCUGGAUACGAACACUGGACUGAAUCUAUGGACUAAUUCUAAGAACUCUUUGCAACUACAAAGCUCACCAUCUCUACUAUGUAACUGAUCUCAGAACUGUACUCAUGUCUGUAUCUAUAUUGAUCUUUUAAGCAAUACUCACUCUUUUCUUUUUUAAUAAAUUUUAGUU